AGCUCCAGUAGCGUAUAUUAAAAUUGUUGCAGUUAAAACGCUCGUAGUCGAACUUAGUCUCUGUGUCUCUACUCACCCUUUCGAGUGUGUCUAGAGACUAGAGAUAGUGUUACCUUGAAGAAAAGAGAGUGUUCAAAGCAGACGAUGUGUUUGAAUACGUUAGCAUGGAAUAACAAAGUGAGAUAUUAGAUAUUUCUUUUGUUGGUUUUGAUAUUUAAUGAGGAUGAAUAGGGACAGUUGGGGGUAGUAGGAUUCAUGAGCUAGAGGUGAAAUUCGAAGAUUUCAUGAGGACUAACAAGGGCGAAGGCAUCUACCAAGGAUGUUUUCA
RNAcentral lists this ribosomal RNA (328 nucleotides) under uncultured eukaryote. RNAcentral's name for it is "partial small subunit ribosomal RNA". It matches the Rfam family "Eukaryotic small subunit ribosomal RNA", at positions 587 to 972 of the family's 1831-position model. The record is from RNAcentral.